AGCAAGGACAACUCGAGGACGAGAGGGGAGAUGGAACGACUGAUCGAGCCCGAGAGUGACAGUACCGUUUCGGACGGCGUGCGUGUAACUAUGUACCGAUCGAUCUUAACACGUACAUGUACCCAGUGAUAUUAAAUUCAUAUUAUCACUUUACAUGCGGGACCGAUCGCAGUACCGAAUACAACGAGAGACUCUAAUCACGGUUGCGCGAUCGACACCAGUGAAAUACUAUAAUACUAUCCGUGACUUUUCCUUGGACUUUUCUAAUCGGAAAGUGUAUUUGUGUGACUCUGAUCAAAGUGCAAUAAUUCUCAAUCAAAACACUACAAGUGAAGCCUCGAUGCAAAGAGUCAACUCGACAACAUUUCGCCAUCCAUCCCCAGGAACUCUUCCGGGUUAUCUAAAGGAUCCAACGCAUGGUCCAGAGCAAACAAUAUGGAGGAUCGAUUAACAGAGUAACGUCGAUUCGUUGUACGAAAAAGGCGAGGACUGUGCAGGAGCCAACGAUUUCAAAGGGUGAACGCGAUUGAAGAAGUUUUGGAAACCACUUGGCUGGAGAUAGGCGAGGCAACGACGAAAGUGUGAACGGCGCGAUGAUCCUGAAGGAAGCGUCGAGAGACGAAUAAAGGUCGGACUACAGCGCGCCGAGAGAGACUCGUAGACCCGUUCUUAUCAUAGUAAUCGUUACUUCGAAUGGCUUACGAACUGGUAACGCGCGGAAAAACCCGCUCGGUGUCGCUUCGUACGUGUCGAUGGCGCGAUUUCAUUUAAAGGGACUCGCAUAAGGCUCUGAAAUCCCCCAUUACCAAUACCCGAGGUAUGGGUAGAGGAUUCUCGACUUCAAUUUUACAGAAUGGGGGCAUCUGUUGAAAAUUAUAAUUCGAUCAACAAGAAACAGAGUCCUCCGUUUGGUAACUGUCGCGCGGUUACUUCCACUCUCUCGUCUUUGAGGUUGCCAACGUCAUCAUCGCGUCUAAUCGAGUCGUUUUGCUUACGGCACGGAAUCUUGGAUGAUUUAUCGAUCUUCGCCAUAAUCGUGGCAAUCUUGCUCCCUAGUUUUUCAAUUGGCGCCAAUACCACGGACGAAGGACGUCAAUUAAUCACGCGGCCCGUUGAAGUAUGCGCACACAACGAUUCCAUCCGAGUUUCCGACGGUGCAGUUACGUUGAUACGCGAACAACACCUAGGCGUCGCAACGGUUAUCAAUUAUUCGCCGAUAAAGCUGCCAGAAUCUCGAAAGCAAGCCGCCCCCCUCGUACCCGCGUCGCGGUAUCCCUUCAGCCGCCGAUUGAAAUUUAUCGACACGCUAUAAUUACGUGCCAGGAAGUUGAUUGUGCGUCGCUGCGAUCCUCAUUAGGCGUGUACGCUCAACCGCUAUAGAGGACCCUGACGGACGCGACGUUGCAGUUGUCUCGGUGAACCUCGAUGACACGUAUAGGUGACUGCCAUCGACAGCGAUUAAACGAUCGACUUCAGCCUUUUCACUGGUGGGAUGUAUGAAUUCACUCUUUUCAUUGUCAGGUUCACAGCUUGAUACACCACGUGUAGCAUAUUUCACAGUGGAUGGAGCUAAACGGAUCAAUUCAAUUGUCCUUACAAAGGUCAGAACAAAAAUUCUUACAAAAAGCGGAAAGAGAAAUCUUGGAACGAAACUAGUUUGAAUUAAAUUUUCGAAAGUUGUCGAGAACCAGGAAGAGGUACGGAGAGAUCGAGCAGUGAAUUCGUAGCCAUGCUAUAACUCGCGACAACGUUGAUCACGCUUGACUGUUUCAAACGCAACCGCAACCUUCGUCGGGGAACCAUCAAAACAUCGUAAAUAUUGAUUCAGCCAUGCGCGUAAUGGAAUACGAAUGAACAAACUGCAAGGAAAAACAGCAUCCGUGCUAUGGCAACACUAUACACGGGGUGUCGCCUGAAUAAAGUCAGGAAUAAACAAGGAAAAACCUCCAGAGUAAAAUUUGAUUAAGAGACGCGUGGUCUUCCUAACUCGAGCAUCAACCAGUGUCAUAAACGUGGAUGUGCAAUCAGCACUGCUUUGAAGUUCUCUAGCUUCUUUCUCAAUAUAUCCAAGGAUUUUCUCGAGAAACCGGACUCACAAUUUGAUUUCUGUGUCGAGCCCUUCAUAUCCGAAUCGUCCUGCGCUGUUUAAUCCGCAUUAAGAGGAAUGUGGAGCACGUCGCAACAUUCGGCUCCGAUUGUUCGAUUACCUGUCUGCUUCGACCCUUUAAUCGCUGUGCUGCGCUUACCUUGAUGAUUAACAU
Long non-coding RNA from Hylaeus anthracinus, 2261 nucleotides. RefSeq lists it as uncharacterized. The record is from RefSeq and is a predicted model, not a curated record. The transcript has 4 exons. NCBI's taxonomy places the organism in Eukaryota, Metazoa, Arthropoda, Insecta, Hymenoptera, Colletidae.